GCGGUUUCAGACUGUCUCUAUGAGAAGGUAAGUGCGGUUUCAGACUCUCUAGGAGAAGGUAAGUGCGGUUUCAGACUGUCUCUAUGAGAAGGUAAGUGCGGUUUCUGACUGUCUCUAGGAGAAGGUAAGUGCGGUUUCAGACUGUCUCUAGGAGAAGGUAAGUGCGGUUUCAGACUGUCUCUAGAAGAAGGUUAGUGCGGUUUCAGAUUGUCUCUAGGAGAAUGUAAGUGCGGUUUCAGACUGUCUCUAGAAGGUAAGUGCGGUUUCAGACUGUCUCUAGGAGAAGGUAAGUGCGGUUUCAGACUGUCUGCGGUUUCAGACUGUCUCUAGAAGGUAAGUGCGGUUUCAGACUGUCUCUAGGAGACUGUCUCGGUAAAGUGCGGUUUCAGACUGUCUCUAGAAGAAGGUAAGUGCGGUUUCAGACUGUCUCUAUGAGAAGGUAAGUGCGGUUUCAGACUGUCUCUAUGAGAAGGUAAGUGCGGUUUCUGACUGUCUCUAGGAGAAGGUAAGUGUGGUUUCAGACUGUCUCUAGGAGAAGGUAAGUGCGGUUUCAGAUUGUCUCUAGGAGAAUGUAAGUGCGGUUUCAGACUGUCU
Non-coding RNA from Pelobates cultripes (western spadefoot toad), 594 nucleotides. NCBI's taxonomy places the organism in Eukaryota, Metazoa, Chordata, Amphibia, Anura, Pelobatidae. The record is from the annotation of a GenBank genome assembly.